UACGUAGGCGGCAAGCGUUGUCCGGAAUUAUUGGGCGUAAAGGGAGCGCAGGCGGGAAACUAAGCGGAUCUUAAAAGUGCGGGGCUCAACCCCGUGAUGGGGUCCGAACUGGUUUUCUUGAGUGCAGGAGAGGAAAGCGGAAUUCCCAGUGUAGCGGUGAAAUGCGUAGAUAUUGGGAAGAACACCAGUGGCGAAGGCGGAUUUCUGGACUGUAACUGACGCUGAGGCUCGAAAGCUAGGGUAGCGAACGGG
Molecule: ribosomal RNA, 252 nt
Filed under: Megamonas funiformis YIT 11815
Lineage: Bacteria; Bacillati; Bacillota; Negativicutes; Selenomonadales; Selenomonadaceae
Description: partial 16S ribosomal RNA
Rfam family: Bacterial small subunit ribosomal RNA
Source: RNAcentral